UAUCAAUAAGCGGAGCACAAGGGUCCCUGCCUAGCACUAGGCGGAACACACAGGGGCCCUGUCUUGNAUUUGCGCCUCUCGUACAUGUUCCUUGAAACAGGACGUCACAGAGGGUGAGAGGCCCGUGCGAUGAGGUGUCCAUUUCUAUGUAAGAUGUUUUCAAGAGUCGAGUUGUUUGGGAAUGCAGCUCUAAUUGGGUGGUAAAUUCCAUCUAAAGCUAAAUAUUGGCGAGAGACCGAUAUUUUACAAGUACAGUGAUGGAAAGAUGAAAAGAACUUUGAAAAGAGAGUGAAAAAGUACGUGAAAUUGUUGAAAGGGAAGGGUAUUAGAUCAGACUUGGUAUUUAGUUAUCACUACUCCUUGUGGGUGGUGCUCUAACUUUUUACUGGGCCAGCAUCAGUUUUGGUGGCAGAUAAUGACAUUUGAAUGUGGCUCCUCGCAGUGUUAUAGCUUUUGUUGAUACUGCCUAUCAAUACUGAGGUCUUGCCCGCCUUUCCUCNCANGCUGGGGUACUGAUCCAAUCCC
This 525-nucleotide ribosomal RNA is filed under the name [Candida] sp. Chih2rhO310. RNAcentral describes it as "eukaryotic LSU rRNA". It matches the Rfam family "Eukaryotic large subunit ribosomal RNA", at positions 41 to 646 of the family's 3401-position model. Lineage: Eukaryota; Fungi; Ascomycota; Saccharomycetes; Saccharomycetales. The record is from RNAcentral.